UCCUGCUUCCUGAGGGCCUCCUGGAGGAGCUGCGUCAGGUGGUUCACCUCACCCUCCAGCUGCUCUCGUGCUGUCUCGAGUUCCACACGGGAGACUGAAUCAUCUGAGAAACACCACCUGGACCAUCUUCCUUUUCCACUUGUGGCAGUGACUCAAACUCAUCCUGGGUGGAGUGGAAGGAGGAGUUGGAGGCCAUGCUGUUUGGACGACUGGUGUCCUCACUUCCUUGGACGGAAGGAUGUUUCUGCAAGCGAUUAAUCAAGAAAACAACGAGUACAAGGACUGGAUUUGUUCCCCCCAUCACUUACACUUGAAUCGCAUUAGAAGGGGAUCUCUUCAAAGCCAGUAUGGACAUGAGAGAUGAUUACAGUGACCAAUAAGUCUUUAAAUGUACAUGUGGGCAUAGAUUCUGAGGUGAUGCAGUGCACAGCCCGUGCCACCAGAGGUCAGUCUUUACUGAUUGAACAGGCAGCUGAGCUGAGGAAGACAGCUACUGCAAGUGGUGUGGAUAACGUUACAGGGAGUUCAGGACCAGUCACCGUCUGCUCCACCGACUGCUUCAGGUCUUCGAUUGUCUCCAGCAACAUGUUUCUCUCCUCAUGGAGCUUCUCAACCUCCUCUCUCAGCGCCGUUCCUCUAAACUCAUC
This is a non-coding RNA of Epinephelus lanceolatus (giant grouper), 647 nucleotides long. NCBI's taxonomy places the organism in Eukaryota, Metazoa, Chordata, Actinopteri, Perciformes, Serranidae. The record is from RefSeq and is a predicted model, not a curated record.